Small nucleolar RNA from Acanthochromis polyacanthus (spiny chromis), 93 nucleotides. Its record names the gene SNORD14. It matches the Rfam family "Small nucleolar RNA SNORD14". From Rfam's summary of the family: U14 small nucleolar RNA (U14 snoRNA) is required for early cleavages of eukaryotic precursor rRNAs. Lineage: Eukaryota; Metazoa; Chordata; Actinopteri; Pomacentridae. The record is from Ensembl.
UCGCAGUGAUGACGUUUACUCCUGCCAUUCGUAGUUUCCACCAGAGGUCAUAAGACCAAAGAUGGCCCUGACCUUCCUUGGAUGUCUGAGCGA